CCUACGGGAGGCAGCAGUGGGGAAUAUUGGACAAUGGGGGAAACCCUGAUCCAGCGAUGCCGCGUGAGUGAUGAAGGCCUUAGGGUUGUAAAACUCUUUCAGAAGUGAAGAUGAUGACGGUAACUUCAGAAGAAGCUCCGGCUAACUCCGUGCCAGCAGCCGCGGUAAUACGGAGGGAGCUAGCGUUGUUCGGAAUUACUGGGCGUAAAGAGCGUGUAGGCUGUUAGAUAAGUCAGAGGUGAAAUCCCUAAGCUCAACUUAGGAACUGCCUUUGAUACUAUUUUACUAGAGAUCGAGAGAAGUUGGCGGAAUUCCAAGUGUAGAGGUGAAAUUCGUAGAUAUUUGGAAGAACACCAGUGGCGAAAGCGGCCAACUGGCUCGUUUCUGACGCUAAGACGCGAAAGCGUGGGUAGCAAACAGGAUUAGAUACCCUGGUAGUCCACGCCGUAAACGAUGAGUGCUAGCCGUUUGUGAUUUAUCACAAGUGGUGCAGCUAACGCGUUAAGCACUCCGCCUGGGGAGUACGAUCGCAAGAUUAAAACUCAAAGGAAUUGACGG
Molecule: ribosomal RNA, 558 nt
Filed under: uncultured bacterium
Lineage: Bacteria
Description: bacterial SSU rRNA
Rfam family: Bacterial small subunit ribosomal RNA
Source: RNAcentral